UACGGAGGGUGCAAGCGUUAAUCGGAAUUACUGGGCGUAAAGCGUGCGCAGGCGGUUUGUUAAGUCCGUUGUGAAAGCCCCGAGCUCAACUUGGGAAUUGCAGUGGAUACUGGCAGGCUGGAGUACGGUAGAGGAAGGUGGAAUUCCCGGUGUAGCAGUGAAAUGCGUAGAUAUCGGGAGGAACACCAGUGGCGAAGGCGGCCUUC
RNAcentral lists this ribosomal RNA (206 nucleotides) under uncultured bacterium. RNAcentral's name for it is "partial 16S ribosomal RNA". It matches the Rfam family "Bacterial small subunit ribosomal RNA", at positions 524 to 729 of the family's 1533-position model. The record is from RNAcentral.